GUCAUGCUUGACUCCUUGUA
This 20-nucleotide small nuclear RNA is filed under the name Arabidopsis thaliana (thale cress). RNAcentral's name for it is "snRNA_05041". Lineage: Eukaryota; Viridiplantae; Streptophyta; Magnoliopsida; Brassicales; Brassicaceae. The record is from RNAcentral.